Molecule: small RNA, 1314 nt
Filed under: Vigna angularis var. angularis
Lineage: Eukaryota; Viridiplantae; Streptophyta; Magnoliopsida; Fabales; Fabaceae
Description: Non-protein coding transcript
Source: RNAcentral
UCCAUUGCUGUAUAUAUGCAGACGUAGCAGAUAGAUACCUUGUCAUUCAUGGAAAAUAAUCUUGUUUCAAAUAUCAUUUUAGACUCCAUUAGUAUGAAUGCCAGCCAUAAAAGGCCAAACACUAACUCACUCAAGUGUCUCCAUAUUCUGCAUUCAACACUGCUAUUUAGUAACUUGAUGUUCACUUCGUAACAUACAUCCUAUUCUGCAAUUGCAUGCCCCACUGUUAUCUAAUAACAAACAAACAAACAGUUUAUAUAUGAUGUAAUUAAUGAUUUUUAUGAUAAUUAUCAUAUUAAUACCAACAACAAUAAAUUGCAUACAAAUUAAACUAAUAAAAAUUUCUUGAAUAUUCCGUUGCUCAUUAUUCAUUAGAAAGACCUCACUCAGAAGCAUGUAUCAGUUCAUGAAUAAUCAUUCUUCGAUCACGUUAUUCUGCAACAGCAUGUGAUUUUCCUUUUCCUCUGGAGUCAUGAAUGCGAUGAUAGGGAAGGACUUUCCUAUUCCCACAGGGGUCUUAAAGAGUAUCUUCUUCCCCUUAGGAUCUUCAAUGCUCAUCUCAGAUAUUGGCACCCACAGCAGCAUCUGCUUGCUCUUAAUGCCUGUCAUUUUCUUCAUCCUAAACUUCUCCACAUACCCAGUGACCUCAACUGCAUAACUCACCCUGGUGUUGGUUCCUUCAAAGAAAUGCUCAUAAGGGGCCUUCUGUUUCAUCCACACGAACCCAGUUUCUCUAACUCUGCCACACUCCACCAAGUCCUGCAGGGGAAGAACACCCUUUGGAAAACCCAACUCUUCUAAGAGCUCUAUCGACUGACGAUAACACUCUUCAGAACCAUACACUAUCUCCGCCCCUUCACGCUCCUUUACAACACCGGCCAUCUCUAGAAUUUUUCAAGCUAAAACAAUGUGAUGGUAAUGGAAGAAGCCACAACUUACCAUUAUAUAAUAACAAAUGAUACAGAAAGUUGUCCUGUUUUGAAUGCAGUGGUUCACCCGUUUGCUUCAGGUGGCUUUUUGUUGUUUACCUACAUUAGCUUGGUUAGAUUAAGGUUCAAUUAUAACUUAUGCUAAAUUGUGUUAACAUAGAAAAGAUCAAACUUUAAGUGUUGAUGUGAAACUAAUGAAAUAAGUAGUUGGAUUUUGUUAGAGAUAGGUGAAACUAUGAAUCAGUUUUCAUGCCUGUCUUGUGGUGGUGGGGUUAGGUAUGGACUUUCCAGUGUGAACAAAGUUAGAGUCUUCUAACAUGCAUUUUCAAGAAUACCUGUUUUUCAACUAGGAGCAUACGUUUCAUGGUGAGAGUUUCAGUUUGAA